Molecule: ribosomal RNA, 401 nt
Filed under: uncultured bacterium
Lineage: Bacteria
Description: bacterial SSU rRNA
Rfam family: Bacterial small subunit ribosomal RNA
Source: RNAcentral
UGAGUAACAUGUAGGUAUCUGCCCUUUGGCCUGGAAUAACACGAGGAAACUUGUGCUAAUACCGGAUAAGUCUUUACGGAGAAAGCUUUAUGCACCAUUGGAUGAGCCUGCACUUGAUUAGUUUGUUGGUGGGGUAAUGGCCUACCAAGACUGUGAUCAAUAGCUGAUUUGAGAGGAUGAUCAGCCACAUUGGGACUGAGACACGGCCCAAACUCCUACGGGAGGCAGCAGUGGGGAAUCUUGCACAAUGGAGGAAACUCUGAUGCAGCGAUGCCGCGUGAGUGAAGAAGGCCCUUGGGUUGUAAAGCUCUUUCGUCGGGGAAGAAAAUGACUGUACCCGAAUAAGAAGGUCCGGCUAACUUCGUGCCAGCAGCCGCGGUAAUACGAAGGGACCCAGCGUA